Molecule: transfer RNA, 50 nt
Filed under: Acinetobacter baumannii PR07
Lineage: Bacteria; Pseudomonadati; Pseudomonadota; Gammaproteobacteria; Moraxellales; Moraxellaceae
Description: tRNA-Arg
Source: RNAcentral
GCGCUCAUAGCUCAGCUGGAUAGAGCACUUGGCUACGAACUAAGGGGUCG